GGCACAGAUUUGAAGUAGAGUAGAUUAGUGGAAUUAGUUGACCCUAUUUCUCUAUUCUACUUCAAACUUGUACCC
RNAcentral lists this microRNA precursor (75 nucleotides) under Haemonchus placei. RNAcentral's name for it is "mir-5928 microRNA precursor family". It matches the Rfam family "mir-5928 microRNA precursor family". Lineage: Eukaryota; Metazoa; Nematoda; Chromadorea; Rhabditida; Trichostrongylidae. The record is from Rfam by way of RNAcentral.